This 479-nucleotide ribosomal RNA is filed under the name uncultured bacterium. Its description in RNAcentral is "partial 16S ribosomal RNA". It matches the Rfam family "Bacterial small subunit ribosomal RNA", at positions 28 to 507 of the family's 1533-position model. The record is from RNAcentral.
GAUGAACGCUGGCGGCGUGCUUAACACAUGCAAGUCGAACGAAGCACUUAAGAUUGAUUCUUCGGAUGACGUCUUUUGUGACUUAGUGGCGGACGGGUGAGUAACGCGUGGGUAACCUGCCUCACACAGGGGGAUAACAGUUAGAAAUGACUGCUAAUACCGCAUAACCCGAUAGGAUCGCAUGAUCCAGACGGAAAAGAUUUAUCGGUGUGAGAUGGACCCGCGUCUGAUUAGCUAGUUGGUGAGGUAACGGCCCACCAAAGCGACGAUCAGUAGCCGGCCUGAGAGGGUGAACGGCCACAUUGGGACUGAGACACGGCCCAAACUCCUACGGGAGGCAGCAGUGGGGAAUAUUGCACAAUGGGGGAAACCCUGAUGCAGCGACGCCGCGUGAGUGAAGAAGUAUUUCGGUAUGUAAAGCUCUAUCAGCAGGGAAGAAAAUGACGGUACCUGACUAAGAAGCCCCGGCUAACUACGUG